RNAcentral lists this non-coding RNA (48 nucleotides) under Devosia sp. RNAcentral's name for it is "Guanidine-II sequence". It matches the Rfam family "Guanidine-II riboswitch aptamer (mini-ykkC)". Rfam says of the family: Simpler in structure and has fewer highly conserved nucleotide positions than the ykkC-yxkD leader. Despite this each of its two stem-loop structures directly bind free guanidine. The record is from RNAcentral. Lineage: Bacteria; Pseudomonadati; Pseudomonadota; Alphaproteobacteria; Hyphomicrobiales; Devosiaceae.
CCGCGAGGACGACCUCCCCCAUAAUGGGUAUCGUUCGGGACGGCCCGG